This 1217-nucleotide long non-coding RNA is filed under the name Capsicum annuum. RNAcentral's name for it is "long non-coding RNA (CANN_LNC007771)". Lineage: Eukaryota; Viridiplantae; Streptophyta; Magnoliopsida; Solanales; Solanaceae. The record is from RNAcentral.
AAUAUAUUAGACAAACUAGAGAAAAUCAAGAAAAUCUAAAUAAUGAAAUUAAUUAUAGAAACCGAAUUAGACAAAUAAUGAAAGACCUAAAAGAAAAAUUAAUAUGGAUAGAAAAAACCUUAGAAAAUUUAGAUAAAAGUACAUGUGAUAGUUUAUAUAAUUUAAAAAACUCACUACGAGAAGAACAACACAAAAUAAUAAAUAACAUUGAAAAUCUAGAAUUAGAUAUAUAUUAUAGCACAGAUAGGAUAAAUUAUUAUACAAGAAUUUGUAACUCUGUAAUUACUACAGGAUAAAAUAAUUAAUGAAUAUAUCUUACGAAAAAAGUAAAUUAUUAAAAGAUAACAUCCACGCACUAAAUAAAAAUAGAUUCACUACAAAUAUGUACCAAAUCUAUUAUACCUAUUUAAUUAAAUCCGCGCACCCCCCUACAAAUAUGUACCAAAUCUAUUAUACCUAUUUAAUUAAAUCCGCGCACCCCCCUACAAAUAUGUACCAAAUCUAUUAUACCUAUUUAAUUAAAUCCGCGCACCCCCCUACAAAUGGUAUCAGAGCUAUAAAAUUUCUUAAUAAAAAUAUGCAAAAACUACUAAGACUAAAACAAACAGCUACAAAACAAUUUUAAAAAUAGAUCAUUUAGAUUAUCUUAAAGUUUUAAUAUUGUAUAUACUUAAAAACAUAGAAAUUAUAGAUAUUAAGAAAAUAAUAUUAGAAAAAGUAAUAGACUACGAAAUUGAAACUAUAAAUUAUCUAGAACAGUUAUACGAAGAAAUUUACCCAGAAGAAUAUUAUUCAGAUUAAGAUAUGUUAGAAUAUAUUAGACAAACUAGAGAAAAUCAAGAAAAUCUAAAUAAUGAAAUUAAUUAUAGAAACCGAAUUAGACAAAUAAUAAAAGACCUAAAAGAAAAAUUAAUAUGGAUAGAAAAAACCUUAGAAAAUUUAGACAAAAGUACAUGUGAUAGUCUAUAUAAUUUAAAAAACUCACUACGAGAAGAACAACACAAAAUAAUAAAUAACAUUGAAAAUCUAGAAUUAGAUAUAUAUUAUAGCACAGAUAGGAUAAAUUAUUAUACAAGAAUUUGUAACUCUGUAAUUACUACAGGAUAAAAUAAUUAAUGAAUAUAUCUUACGAAAAAAGUAAAUUAUUAAAAGAUAACAUCCACGCACUAAAUAAAAAUAGAUUCCCUACAAUUCCGUACAAAUCUAUUAUAUCUAUU